RNAcentral lists this ribosomal RNA (819 nucleotides) under uncultured Actinomycetes bacterium. Its description in RNAcentral is "bacterial SSU rRNA". It matches the Rfam family "Bacterial small subunit ribosomal RNA", at positions 335 to 1167 of the family's 1533-position model. Lineage: Bacteria; Bacillati; Actinomycetota; Actinomycetes. The record is from RNAcentral.
ACUCCUACGGGAGGCUGCAGUGGGGAAUAUUGCACAAUGGGCGCAAGCCUGAUGCAGCAACGCCGCGUGAGGGACGACGGCCUUCGGGUUGUAAACCUCUUUUAGUAGGGAAGAAGCGAAAGUGACGGUACCUGCAGAAAAAGCACCGGCUAACUACGUGCCAGCAGCCGCGGUAAUACGUAGGGUGCAGGCGUUAUCCGGAAUUAUUGGGCGUAAAGAGCUCGUAGGCGGUUUGUCGCGUCUGCUGUGAAAACUGGAGGCUCAACCUCCAGCCUGCAGUGGGUACGGGCAGACUAGAGUGCGGUAGGGGAGAUUGGAACUCCUGGUGUAGCGGUGGAAUGCGCAGAUAUCAGGAAGAACACCGAUGGCGAAGGCAGAUCUCUGGGCCGUAACUGACGCUGAGGAGCGAAAGCAUGGGGAGCGAACAGGAUUAGAUACCCUGGUAGUCCAUGCCGUAAACGUUGGGAACUAGAUGUAGGGACCAUUCCACGGUUUCUGUGUCGCAGCUAACGCAUUAAGUUCCCCGCCUGGGGAGUACGGCCGCAAGGCUAAAACUCAAAGGAAUUGACGGGGGCCCGCACAAGCGGCGGAGCAUGCGGAUUAAUUCGAUGCAACGCGAAGAACCUUACCAAGGCUUGACAUAUACCGGAAAAGGCUAGAAAUAGUCUCCCCGCAAGGUCGGUAUACAGGUGGUGCAUGGUUGUCGUCAGCUCGUGUCGUGAGAUGUUGGGUUAAGUCCCGCAACGAGCGCAACCCUCGUUCUAUGUUGCCAGCACGUAAUGGUGGGAACUCAUAGGAGACUGCCGGGGUCAACUCGGA